AUUGAACGCUGGCGGCAUGCUUUACACAUGCAAGUCGAACGGUAACAGGUUAAGCUGACGAGUGGCGAACGGGUGAGUAAUGCAUCGGAACGUGCCCGAUCGUGGGGGAUAACGCAGCGAAAGCUGCGCUAAUACCGCAUACGAUCUGAGGAUGAAAGCGGGGGACCGUAAGGCCUCGCGCGAUCGGAGCGGCCGAUGUCAGAUUAGGUAGUUGGUGGGGUAAAGGCCCACCAAGCCGACGAUCUGUAGCUGGUCUGAGAGGACGACCAGCCACAAUGGGACUGAGACACGGCCCAGACUCCUACGGGAGUGAGCAGUGGGGAAUUUUGGACAAUGGGCGAAAGCCUGAUCCAGCAAUGCCGCGUGCAGGAAGAAGGCCUUCGGGUUGUAAACUGCUUUUGUACGGAGCGAAAAGGUCCUUUCUAAUACAAGGGGCUCAUGACGGUACCGUAAGAAUAAGCACCGGCUAACUACGUGCCAGCCGCCGCCGUAA
This 493-nucleotide ribosomal RNA is filed under the name uncultured bacterium. RNAcentral's name for it is "partial 16S ribosomal RNA". It matches the Rfam family "Bacterial small subunit ribosomal RNA", at positions 30 to 523 of the family's 1533-position model. The record is from RNAcentral.